Passer domesticus (house sparrow) is the source of this 685-nucleotide long non-coding RNA. RefSeq lists it as uncharacterized. The record is from RefSeq and is a predicted model, not a curated record. NCBI's taxonomy places the organism in Eukaryota, Metazoa, Chordata, Aves, Passeriformes, Passeridae. The transcript is spliced from 4 exons.
UGUCCUGGGUGUGUCUCCUCACAACUUCCCAGUCACCCUCAGCUUCCUCACCAGCCUCACAAAAAGCAGAAAAGGCCUUGGCUCUGUAGAAAGAAGUCUCCUUAUAUCCAAAAGGAAUAACCACAUCCAAGAGCCUUCAGCAUAAUUGCAAACUUCAAGCAAUCCACAGCAUCAAAAGCAUUGAGAGGCCAUUGGCCACUGCACCAGAAAUUUUGCCUUUGGCCAAGGGCAUACUCACAGGAAUGAGGAUAGAGCAACAUGGUUAGGAGACUGUCCUAAUUUCCACUUGUUUGUUUCCCCUGUAGGGAAAUGAGUGAAGGCAGGAAGCAGCACGGAGAGCAGCAGAGCACUGUGAGGCAGCACUCGCAUGAUGGACCCCAAAAUCAGCAUUCACAUGUGGGAGGGAACAGUCUCCACCCAUCCUCAUUGCUUCUACUCAUGUAUUUAACUCAGAGGAAAAGAACUAUGAAAUCUCCAUCAGCUGAAAAAAACACAGAUAAGACUGUUCAGCAGCAAAGUUCAAAUCACCAUCUGAAUAUUAUCUAAUUUCACACUGAAGGUAUGAACAUUUCAGGUUUAGCCGUGUCACAGAAUGAUAAAUGUCCUGAACUAGUUCACAGGAAGUUCCAAAGGAAACAAUACAUAUGCUCUGUACUGGAAUAGUUUAAAGUAAAGGACAAGGAAA